UGCCUGUUAGCUCAGUUGGUUAGAGCGCCGUGCUAAUAUCGCGGAGGUCAUGAGUUCAAUCCUCUUACGGGCCA
Daphnia pulex (common water flea) is the source of this 74-nucleotide non-coding RNA. The record is from Rfam. Lineage: Eukaryota; Metazoa; Arthropoda; Branchiopoda; Diplostraca; Daphniidae.